This 61-nucleotide transfer RNA is filed under the name Ixodes columnae. RNAcentral describes it as "tRNA-Cys". The record is from RNAcentral. RNAcentral also lists the same sequence under 1 other name. Lineage: Eukaryota; Metazoa; Arthropoda; Arachnida; Ixodida; Ixodidae.
AAUCUUAUAUUUUAUAUAUAAAAUAUUAAAUUGCAAAUUUAAAGAAGAAUUUCUAAGAUUU